RNAcentral lists this long non-coding RNA (8656 nucleotides) under Theobroma cacao (cacao). Its description in RNAcentral is "long non-coding RNA (TCAC_LNC004447)". Lineage: Eukaryota; Viridiplantae; Streptophyta; Magnoliopsida; Malvales; Malvaceae. The record is from RNAcentral.
AUUUUUAUAGCACAAAAGCUAAAUAAAUUCAUACAUACUGUAAUACAGAUAACCAAAGCAUAAGAUUUAAUUUACAAUGACACGUGGGCCCACGAACGACCAAAAGUAUUAAAAACGGUAAACCUACAGUUUUUGAGGAUGCAAGUCCAACUGUAGCCCUCAAUGAAAUCAGCUAUUUACCGACUAUCCUGAGCCUGAAAGGAGUGGAAAGGAGGGUGGUGAGAUUAUAUAAUCCUAGUGAGUAAGCAAAUAUCAUCUAAAAUAUCUAAAGCCGAGUAAAUGGAGGCAAAUAAAAUAGAUUAGCAUAAAAAUGAUUCACAGCAUUUCAAACUCAUUUUAAUAAGAUAAAAUAAAUUCAUUUCACCCAAACAAACAACGAGGCUUAUGAUUUCCUAAAAAGCUUGGCUCGUGCUAAAAUCAUUCUCAUACUCAGUUAUCAGGGAUACCUUGUCCUAGGGCUAUCCCAACCAAGUCCGUCAAGGCUGUUAAAAAGUCAUGUAUGCAUAAAUCAAGUUUUUAUUUUGAAAACAUAGCCAUUCCUUGGCGUUGGCUGAGUUCACCCUCACGUGGUGGUUUGGCGUGAAGUGAACUCUAAAGUUGUACCUCAGGAAUUACCUUAUGCUCUCCGAACGAGGUAAGAUAUAACAGGAUUCUGUGCCCCUCAAAAAGGCUAGUCCACAGAACCUGCCUACUACAGCAAGCUAAACCCACCAUACAAUAAAAUUUGCAAUAGCAUGACAUGGCAAUUAUUUUAUUUUACAGCCUCUCAAGGCAAAUCAACAAUUCAUACAUUUUCAGCACAUUUACCAAUUCAACCAUUCAUGCCAAUAUUAUCAUAAGCCAUUCAAUUAGAACCAUAAAUUUGCAACACAUCAAGUAGUCUCCAAUUACUCAAUUUUCAAAGCCAUCAUUCAAUUUCAAGACAAUUUAUAAACUCAUUUCAUUUAAACACAUUUUGUUUAUAAAACCUAAAGAUUUACCAUUUAAACUCAUUUUCCAUAAAAUCACAAAAACGAUUUAAAAAUCACAAAAUGAAGAUGAUGAUAAGGUUACUCACUAUUUCGGGAGUCGAAUUUUUAAAGUACUCUGACUAUAGAUCUUCGGGUACAAUUUCUUUGCCCUUAUCGGAGGAUUCACCACCUAGACAUAAUGCACAAUCAAGCAAUUUACCACAUUGGUGCUAAACUGUUAUAAAACUAUAUGGAUGCAUGAAAUGGAAUGUAAAUUGUUCGGAUUAUUGUCUAAACACGGUGUUCUACACAAAUUCAAUUGUGUACCAAAAUAAAACGGUAUUGACCUAAUUUGAUCUAUCACUCGGUUAAUUGGCUAAUAUGUCCAAUUCAACUCCAAUUAACUCUAUUUUUCUCCCAAUACUCCAAAUCAUCAAACACAAAUUAAAUAACUUGAAAUUUUACCUUUGAUUGCUUGAUUACUUGAAAUCCACCAAUUUUCUCUUGAAUUUUCACUCUAGGGUUUUUGUUGUUUCUUUUCUUCUUUUGUUCUUGCUUUGGCCGGCCAUAAGAAUGAAUGUGGAAGAGUUCAAAUUGGCUUUAUAAAGGAAAAUAUUAAAUGGACAAAAAUUUGUCAUGUGUCACCAUUCCAUUGGUCCAUGUGUCAUACUUACCCAUUAAGCAAUCUCUCUCCACCAUUAAAUUUCCUCAAUUAUUCAUGAUAAUAUUGGGUAAAAUCUAUGUGCUGGACAAAUGUUGGGUGGUGUAAAAUUAUAAUUUUGCCCCUAGGGUGGCAAAAUGACUAUUUUACCCUUUAUGCUCGGAACAAUGCCAGAAUUAAAAUUUUUCACUUCUCAAACUCAAAUUAUACUCCAAAUGAUCAAUCUUAGUCAAAAAUUUUAUCCAACACUCACAUCUUAACCUUGGGUGGCAAAAUGACCAUUUUGCCCUUGGGUCAUGAAAAAUUCAAUUUGACUCCAAAUCAGUCCUCAAACUCUGAAUCACCAUUUUAAGUCAUUCUAGGGUCUUAAAAUUCUCAAUUUCAUCUUCAAAUCUCUAUUUCGACUAGUUCGAGGCUUAAUUCAACUUAAUUGUACUAUUUGGUAUAUUACCGUCCUUUAACGAUUUCUGAGGUUCCCAAGUAAUCAAACAUGCAUUCUUAUGUAAGAAUGGCAUAAUAAAUAUAUUGUAGAGCCGGGCUUGAUAGCACUACCCCCCUUAAAAUAAAAGUUUGACCUCAAAAUUUCAUUUACUGAACUCAGAGAAAAGGCGAGGGUAUUGUUUUCUCAUCUAAUGCUCGACUUCUUAUGUCCUCUCCUUUAUAGGGAAUUUCGAUUUGUUCACCUCAUUUACCUUCAAUUCAACUCGAAUACUUCACUUAUGUCUAUUAUUAUCCUUUAAAAUCAUAUCAACAGUAACCUUCAUAAUUAUAAUCUUUUAUAACGAGACACUAAGCAUGCUUCUAUUACUAUCAUUAAACUUGAACCAUAACUCCAUCUCAAUCAUAUCAAUUUUGAUCGCAUUUUAUACUUAUUUAGGUAUACUAAUCACUAUCUUAUUACUUCAUUCCAUAUCAAAUUUCUCGACUUUCAUUCAUUCAUCCUAUCCUCAUACACUAUUGUGUAGUUUACGACAUCAUUAACACGCCAUACUCAUUCCUGUACAUAUCCUCAGUGUUAGGGAAGAUUAAUGGCUUCAAUUAUUUCCACAUACUUCAUGUUUACCUUACAUUUAGGAAAUUUCAAUCUUCUUAAUCUUAUUAAUCCAUUUCAUAUGGCUUAAUCGCACAAUAGAUUACAUUCCUUUAACUAUUUCCCCAAAAUUCCUUAGGUCGCCAUAAAUCUACUUCUGAUAAGAUUCUUGAUCGUUACAUUAUCUAUACAAGUCAUCAAAUAUAUUGAGUUCAAAUCCCGAACCACUAAAACCAUUCUUCAUUUUAGUUGGGUACAUCACUAACUCCACACAUACGUAUACACGCACAUUCAAAUGUCCAUAUUCCUCAUUAUGUAUACGGGUCUCUAUUUUCAAAUGCCUUCAGACUAAUUUCUCUUUGUUCAUUCCCAUCCAUAACCAAGAUUCAAUGGAAUAAUCUUCAUAAUUCAUACAAAUUCUCAUCAUGCCUGUGCAUAAUUCCACAUCAUUUACAUACUUAUACUCUCUUCUUAUCAUUUCCAAUUAUAUGCUUAGGUUUCCUUGUACUAUAUAAUUGCAUCACAAUGUCAACUCCAUUAAACUAUAAUCUAUUAUGGGUGUAUGCUUUAUAAUGUCAUUGAUGCCUCAAAGAUUUAUCUUAACUUGAUCAUUGCAUCUUAUGCAAUACCACAAUUCCUAAGAGUCAUCCUUUUUCCUUGAUUAUCCUUCAUGCCUCUACAUUACCUUGUAUCCUUCUUGCAUUCCGAUAUUGAUUUGUCACUUAAAACUCAAACUCAUUUGAAUCAUUGAUGCCUAAAGCAUUUUUGAAUUCCAAUUUUCAUAAUAUAUUAAGAAAGUUUCAUUAUCCGACUUCAUUAUCAAGGUUAACUUCUAUCAUCCUUUGUUCCACUCUUUCAUACGAAUAUAACAUCAUUCUUCCUUAGCCAAUUUACAGAUUGUACUUGAAAUUGUAAAACUUGAAACUAUGUCCUCCUCAAGUACUUUUCAAUGUCAAUACAAGUAUCACUCUCAACUUACGGCUUCCUUUUUAUGAUCAUAUAACUUAGUGCUUACUUUCACGAGAUCCAUGGUAGAACUUCCCUUGAGUAUUUCUUUGGGGAUAUCUAUCUUAAACUUAUGUCUCACAGUAGGUGAUCACUUAACUCGUGACUUAGCUGUUUGGCUCCUUGGCAAGUUUCAAAAUCACACAUCUUAUACUCAUCUCGUAUAAUUUAUAAUUCUUUCUCAAAGGCGUUUAAACAUUCUUGAAAAACUUAAUCACUUAUUUGCUCUUUCAUACUCCAAGUAUAUCAUUUCCAUAAAGGCAUGCACUUGCUCACCAAAAUAUUUACAUGCAUGCUUAACUAUUCAUGCUUCAACUUAUCUCCAAGGGUUUCUAGCAUACUACGUGGUUUACUUGUGUUGUCACUAAUCCUUUCCUUUCAACAAAGUCAAGACAAGAUUUGUAAAUUCUCAUAACAAUAUUCUAUAUAAACUCAUUUGCUAUAUCAUUCUUGAAAUCUUUAUUCACACUUUCAUCACUUGGUAUUAACAUCUCUUAUCAAUAUCUCAUACAUUCAUCUAACCUUUCCCUCACUUCCUCUUUAACCUUUUACAAGGUUUACUUUGUUUCUUAAGAUUUGACUUUAGUCAACAUAUUAUUCACCUUAACACUCCCCUAAUGCACUUAAGACUCCCAAUAACGAAACUCGACAUCAAAACCAAUGAUCAUUUUCCAACUCAUGAGUCCAAUCUUUAUACUGCUCACAGUUUGCUCAUACUUUCUAGCCAUUAGGGGUUCUUAAAGCGAUAGCGUUUGAUAGUCAGUAUUGUAGUGUUGCAACUGUUUGACUUCACUUUAUCCCAACAACUACCUCAAUUAUUCACAAUCGUGUGGCUUCCCUCUGAGUCUAUACAACAAUUAGUAAGACUAACUUUCUAUCACAAGUGCACGAUCAAAACAUUGAUUUAACGUAUUUAUUUUGCCACUAACAUUCAUAUAUCUUUACCAUAACAUUUAGUACAAGUUUGCUUAAGCAAAAAUCUCCAAAUUUAUUCAUAGCUACAUGUAUCUCAGAUUACACACCACUUAUCAUCAGUCAAUAAAUCCCACUUGAGAAUACUCUUUCCAUAUUGUAUAGUGACUUCACCAUAUACGUAUGACACCAUACACAUAAUUAUUCGUUGUUUUCUAGUGUUCCACAAUUCCUUAGUAUUCACAACUACUAGUCUUCUUUGUCUUACAACUCGUAUAGUCCAAUCACUUCAACUUAAAAUCGUCAUAAAAUUAAUCCACCUAUAUCAACAUUUUAUGCUUAUCUUAUUAUUAGUUCAAAAGCUUCAUGAUCAUGGAAACUACAAUUUNAUACACAUAAUUAUUCGUUGUUUUCUAGUGUUCCACAAUUCCUUAGUAUUCACAACUACUAGUCUUCUUUGUCUUACAACUCGUAUAGUCCAAUCACUUCAACUUAAAAUCGUCAUAAAAUUAAUCCACCUAUAUCAACAUUUUAUGCUUAUCUUAUUAUUAGUUCCAGAGUUUCAUGAUCAUGGAAACUACAAUUUACAAAACUAGCUUUCUAUCAUAUGUACUUUAUUAGAACACUAAUUUCAACAUAUUUAAUCUACCUUUGGUGGUAUGUCAAAAUCAUCCCUGUCUCAGUUGUAAUCCAGAGGAAUCUCUCCUCUACAUAUCUAUACGAGCUGGUGGAGAUGGAGCACCUACCGUAGCCUGUCCUAACUGUGGGCAAUCUCUCCUAAUGUGACCCGGCUAACCACAAUAAAAACAUCGUACAAGCCCUCUACACGACCCGACAUGAUAUCUCCCACAAUUUCUGCAUCUAUCAAAACCUCCGAAACUCUUCCCAAAAAUAGUCAUCGCAAAUGUGUUAGAUCUUGGAGACCUCUACUGUGUUUGUGAAAAUGGAGGUCUGGAAGAUGUUACUGAAACAGUAGUAGUACUUCCUGAAACAGAUGAGUCUUUGCCCUUUUUUGGUGACUGACUAGAAGAUACACUCAAAUUUCUCCUUUUUGCUAACUCAGCUCGCAUUCUCCUAUUUUCAUUCGCAAGCUUCUCAACUCUUAAAGCCAUUUGCACCACCUUUUUAGCUACAGUUGCGUCCGACUCACCCAUAAAAGAAACACAACCAUGUUGCCUAGCCUCUUUAAGCUUCUUAGAAAUAGAAACAUCCAGCACUGGUGGUGGGACAGGAGGUGGGGGUGGUGGUACUAAAGGAGCAACUUGAGGAACUGUAAGAAGAGCUUGACCAGCCUAAGCCUGGCCAGUAAUAGCAGUAAAGAAGGCUACCAAUGCCUGAACUGCCUUAAGAGGCAUGGCAAGAAUACUAGUAAGUGGCGAAUGAGGUAGAGGAUGUGGAGGAGUCUCAGUCUGCUCAGCAGCAGGUGCUGCCCGAAUAGUAGACGCAUUUGAUUCCCCCUCUAUAGGAUCUAGCUGGCGAUGUUGAGAACGACCUCUUCCCCUCUUAGCCGAUCUAGUGAGAGGUGGGUGUUCAUGUCGAGGAGGCAUGAUAAUCUAUAAGAAGGAAUAAGGAAAGUUUAAACAACCUCAGGCUUUACAUGCAAUACAUGCAUUUUAUUCAGUCUAACCUAACUUAACUCGGGGCCACACUAACACUGUAAAUUUUUAAAAUAACUUUAAACCCAAAAGCUAUGUGCUCUGAUCUUUAAAACUAAAAGCUUUGAUCUUUAAAACCAAAAACUCUGAUAUCACUAUAAUUGUCACGACCCGUUACUCCCCUCGAGCCCGUGACUCCCUUCGAGCCCGUGACAACCGUUGCGAUGUCUAGAUUGACAUUCAUUGCCCGGAAUGUCAAUCGAAAUCUCGCAAGGCUUUACUAUUAGUUUUCGCACCUCCCUUGGGAGCAACAGUUAUUAAGUAUUAUGUUUUGAGAGAUUAUAAACUAUUUCCAAAUCGAAACAAUAGAAAAAUAAUUUUUUUCUCACAGGGGCAUUUUAGUCAUUUUUUCUUAAAAAUCUCGAAACCAGCUAAAAAUGUAGUUUGCGAGUGGAAAAUACAUAUUACAUAAUCAAAAAUAAGUUUAAAUGUCUAAAACAUUCAUUUAAAGUGAAACUAUACCUAUUUGAAUAUAAUAAAAAUAUUCUAUUUUCUUAUAAAACAAUAUUUAUAGAGUUACUGGUAAAUAAUUUUUGUUGUGUAAAAGCUAAAUAAAUUCAUAUAUACUGUAAUACAGAUAACUAAAGCAUAAGAUUUAAUUUAUAGUGACACGUGGGCCAACGAAAGACCAAAAGUAUCAAAAGCGGUAAACCUACAGUUUUUUAGGAUGCAAGUCCAACUGUAGCCCUCAACGAAAUGAGCUAUCUACCGACUAUCCUGAGCCUGAAAGGUGUGGAAAGGAGGGUGGUGAGAUUAUAUAAUCCCAGUAAGUAAACAAAUAUCAUCUAAAAUAUCUAAAGCCGAGUAAAUGGAGACAGAUAAAAUAGAUUAGCAUAAAAAUGAUUCACAGCAUUUCGAACUCAUUUUAAUAAGAUAAAAUAGAUUCAUUUCACUCAAAUAAACAACGAGGCUUAUGAUUUCCUAAAAAGCUUGGCUUAUGCCAAAAUCAUUCUCAUACUUAGUUAUCAGGGAUACCUUGACCUAGGGCUAUCCCAACCGAGUACGUCAAGGCUGUUAAAAAGUCAUGUACGCAUAAAUCAUGUUUUUAUUUUGAAAACAUAGUCGUUCCUUGGCAUUGGAUGAGUUCACUCUCACGUGGUGGUUUGGCAUGAAGUGAACUGUAAAGUUGUACCUCAGGAGUUACCUACGCGCCUCUUCGAAUGAGGUAAGAUAUAACAGGAUUCUGUGCUCCUCAAAAAGGCUGGUCCACAGAACCCACCCACUGUAGCAAGCUAAACCCACCAUACAUUAAAAUUUGCAAUAGCAUGACAUGGAAAUUAUUUUAUUUUACAGCCUCUCAAGGUAAAUCAAUAGUUCAUACAUUUUCAGCACAUUUACCAAUUCAACCAUUCAUGCCAAUAUUAUCAUAAGCCAUUCAAUUAGAACCAUAAAUUUACAACACAUCAAGUGGUCUCCAAUUACUCUAUUUUCAAAGCCAUCAUUCAAUUUCAAGACAAUUUAUAAAAUCAUUUCAUUUAAACACAUUUUGUUUAUAAAACCUAAAGAUUUAUCAUUUAAACUCAUUUUCCAUAAAAUCACAAAAUCGAAUUAAAAUUCACUUCAGAUAAUCAAGAUAAUAAUAAGGUUACUCACUAUUUCGGGAGUCGAAUUUUUAGAGUACUUAGACUAACGAUCCUCGGGUACAAUUUCUUUGCCCUUAUCGGAGGAUUUACCACCUAGACAUAAUGCACGAUCAAGCAAUUUACCACAUUGGUGCUAAACUGUUAUAAAACUAUAUGGAUGCAUGAAAUGGAAUGCAAAUUGUUCAGAUUAUUGUCUAAAUACGGUGUUCUACACAAAUUCAAUUGUGUACCUAAAUAAAAAGGUAUUGACCUAAUUCGAUCUAUCACUUAGUUAAUUGGCCAAUAUGUCCAAUUCAACUCCAAUUAACUCCAUUUUUCUCCCAAUACUCCAAAUCAUCAAACACAAAUUAAAUAACUUGAAAUAUGGCAAAAUCAUCCUCACAUUUUCUCUUGAAAAAUUCAGCCAUGGAGGGUUCACUAACAAUAUAACUUUCAAGCUUGAUUCUCACACCAUGAAUCACUAAUUCCUAAGUAAAUCAUUUGAAAUAAAAAUCAAAAUCAUCAUCAAUAUUCCACAUGCAGAAUUCGGCCAAUGAGGGUUAUGGAAGAACAUGAAUUUUUCUUGCUUGAUUUUCAUGCUACACAUCACCAAUCAACUAAAAACACUAGAAUAUCUUAAAAUCUAACCAAAACAACCAUCAAAAUCUCUCUCCAAGUAUUCGUUCAGCAAGAAAUCCAUCGUGAAAUCAUGUGAUUCAACCAUGGAAAAUGCAAAAGAAUGUAUGGGAAAGGUAGAUCACAAGUCAAAAUCAAGAAAUUUUACCUUUGAUUGCUUGAUUACUUGAAAUCCACCAAUUUUCUCUUGAAUUUUCAGUCUAGGGUUUUUGUUCUUUCUUUUCUUCCUUUGUUCUUGCUUUGGC